UGUCUCGUAAAUCUGCUGGAAAACGCAAAAAGAAUGAAGAUGAACACCUAGACUCGAUAAUUGAUGAGAUUAACACCAUUACAGGUGCAGAGUCUUCUAAAAGUAGAAAGACUCGACCUAACCACUCAAGUAAAAAUAAAGAUAUUGACAUCGUACUGAGAAGAGACGAAUCUGGCCAGCGAAUAUAUCACAACCCAAGACGAUUGUCGCAGUCUAGCUGGGCAAGACGAGGCAGCAAUAUCACUGCAACUACUGCAAACAAGGAAGGAUUUGUCGAGACAGACUCUGUGAACGAAAGCAAUCCAGAGUCAGUGGGGUUAGGGUGAAUUUUCUGGCCCCGGAAAAUAUCAAAUGAUCAGCUUCUGAAGCAAACCGAACAGGAGGAUAUUUGUACCCUUAUCACCAGGAGAAGAUGGAGAUAUUUCAGGCAUGUGCUGUGAAAGAGCAAUAACAACAUAGCCAGAAUUGCAAUGCGCUGGACACCUGAAGGUAAACGGAGCAGAGGGCGCCCAAAAACAACAUGGCGCAGAACUGUAGAAAAGGGACUGAGGGAGCUCAAUUACAGCUGGAGCACCAUUGAAAAACUGGCUAAAGAUAAGCAGGGUUGGAAAGAUUUCGUUGCUGCCCUAUGUGCCACAUAGGCAUGAUGGGCAGUAAGUAAGUAAUGGAAUACACAAGAUUGAACAAACCUGUUGAUCUCUUAACUGACAAAGUAGAUGAACAUUUUGAAACUUUUGAGCAAGACCUUGAUGCAAUCAUUGAACAGUGUGAGGAAGCUGUUGGGGAA
Dendronephthya gigantea is the source of this 787-nucleotide long non-coding RNA. RefSeq lists it as uncharacterized. The record is from RefSeq and is a predicted model, not a curated record. Lineage: Eukaryota; Metazoa; Cnidaria; Anthozoa; Malacalcyonacea; Nephtheidae. The transcript is spliced from 5 exons.